This is a long non-coding RNA of Ictalurus furcatus (blue catfish), 3786 nucleotides long. RefSeq lists it as uncharacterized. The record is from RefSeq and is a predicted model, not a curated record. NCBI's taxonomy places the organism in Eukaryota, Metazoa, Chordata, Actinopteri, Siluriformes, Ictaluridae. The transcript is spliced from 6 exons.
GCUGAGGCGCGCGUGCUGUGAGCGCGCGUGCUGUGCGUGCGCGUGCGCGCGUAUGUGUGUUGAGGAGCACAUGGACGACAGAGGACGAGAUUUUAGCAGCGCGGCUAAUUAAAGCAGCUCAUCGCCUGAGGGGGAAAAAAAAAAGAACUCAGGACUAAAUUUAACACCCGGAACGCAGACACAGGCUUGUGUUUUAUAUCAGACGAGCAAAAAAAAAAAAAGAAAAAAAAAACCAAAGAAAAAAAAAGGUCUAGCAAGAGGAACCAGGAGAGACGACGGCGCUCGUUAUUCGUGCCCGGAGGAACUGGAACUGAGCUUCAGUUUGCGACCGGCUCCUGAACGCGGAGCUCCUCUCUCGAUUAGGCACUCUGGAGAGUUGAGGCCGGAUGCUUCGAACGAGAAAGGGACAGUCUUUAAGAAUCAUUUCGAAGAAGGACGUACUGAAAUCAUUCUCAUGGCUGGAUUGGGAAGCUGUCGCAAGGACUUUAAUAGGAAACGUGCUCAGUCAUCUGAGACUCUUGCUUUUAAACUGCAUGUCAUGGAACAUCAGUGUCAUGAGACGAACACACCGUGCAAGGCCACGCAUGCAUAUCUAAUACACACGCCGCCUCCCUCUCUUCGUCGGCACCUCCCGAGAGCGACCCGUUACUCCACACCAGGUGGAACUGGAACGGUUCUGCAGUCUGAUUGAGAGCAUAACGGCGCCAUUGGCGUUUCUGGAAUUUCUGCAUCUGGCUGACGUCCAAGGUGUAAAUCCUGCUUCCUUGUGCUAACGGUUCAGCGAAGAUCCAGCUUCGAGGCUUCCAUUAGAUGACCAACUAAGACAGGAGAAGGCGAGACCUUCGUAUAUCUGCUUACACAUACCUUGAGCUCAUCGAAGCGCAGGGUGAAGUGGAGGAUCUCUGCGAACUGGCGUGCCAGAGCCUGCUCUUGCUCCAAGUGCUGCGUGGGGCUGCAGUGCGCACUCGUUAGGAAUCCCAGCAGGCCGUGCAGAGCACCUUCUGCACAACGCGAGACAACAGGCAAAGAGGUAGUGUUACAUUACAGCUGCCCCGAUGGACGGACGACAGUGAAAGACAAACUCGUAGAGUUGAGCAAAUGAAAAAGGAACCAAGGCCCAAUAGCAAGAAUCCAAUCGAAGGGGUGUUUUUCCAGAGACCUGCCCGGGGCAGAACGUGUUCGUAAUUCCGAUUUUAACUGAAGUUCACGUAGAGAACGUGCAGACGGCGUGCACUCCUCACCCAGCAAGAAAGCGAGUGGAUCGCAGUGCAGUGAGCUGCGUAGACCUAUUUAUAUCCACAUGCAUUUUUAACUGUCUAGUCGAAUAUCUGGCAGAGGCGCAUAAAUCUCGGUUGCGCAUCAGAGAGACGUUUAGUCAGUGUAGGCCUUUGAAAGCUCUUCUCUAGAGACUGCUGCAGUUGGUUGGUGAUUAUGUGCGAUUAGGGAGAUGUGUCAUAGUUAACUGGGACAUGACCCACUAAUCCGCAUGAAUUGCUGCUUACCUACCGCUCGGAUACCAAACCCUAAACCUGUACUGCCCUUCCUCCUAUUGAUCUAUAUUACUUAUUAGAUGUGAAACGUAACGCUUGCUCUACCGUCCGUGACUUAUUUUCUCACGCAGUAAUAAUAAAUAUCAGGAACUAGACUCCGUGUUAAAUUGAACCGUUUAAAGAGUGAACAGAAAGCAAUAUUUCUCUAGAUGAGGCCUCCGAGGGUUUGACUCGCCCAGAAUAAUAUCUUAAUCCAAUUACGACGCGUUGUUGCCUGGCUCGAGGCUAACUACCACCAACGAGCAUGAACACUGUAAUCCUAAUAGCAUUUACCUCACCACGACAUGACGUUACAGCCGGGUCUAUUCGCUACACUAUUCAAGUAACAUCCAUGAACGUGACGGUACAAAGAGAAGGAGUUCGAGGACAUUGUGUAUACAGAAAAGACCUCGGAGUGAUGGUGUAGAGAACUAGAGGCGAGAGCGAGCGAGGUGUGAGGCUGACGGAGGUUAUACAGCUGCUUUUUAUAUCGCUAGCUUUGCUGAGUCAUUCGACACUGACCGUCACUGCGCUGAGCAAUAACUAUGCAAAGCUCAGAUUCUUGGCAGUUCAAAAAACACUACACAAAUACAGCUGAUGUUCAGUCUAGGCUCGUGUGAGAUUGAUUUUUCCCUGCUCAUGAGUUGCCGUUAAAAAAAAAAAUAAUAAAAAAAGCACAAUUAACGAUUUAAUCCUACAGGAGGGUGUUGUAGUAGUAGUAGUAGUAAUAAUAUCAGGUCAUUUUAGGUGAUUGUGCAAUGUGUGCGGUAAACACAUGUCACAUGGUACCUUAUCACAUGUCCUCAAGGAACCCAUGAGGUGAGAAUCGAAUUUUUUUUUAUUUUUAAAACUUUAAACACUUCUUUAAUCCACAUACCAAGGGCAGGGGGUGAAACGUCUAGCUAACAAGGUUGUAAAGGCCAGUGCGUUUUGCAAUGGCGCUGCAAAGUCAAUCUCAGGAGGCAUUCCGAAAAUGGCUGAAAGUGGAUUUGGAUCAAGGGUUUUAUGUUGAAGGCGUUCUGCAAUGUUAUUAAAUAUUUCAGUUUAGAAUUUUCAUUGAAAGUAAUAAUGGAAAAAGGGGUUUAUUUAACGUCUCAUUGUUGGUGAAAGAAUCUUUUUAGGUCGGACAUUUUCACCGAAAUGAUUCAGUGACGUACGUGUCUAAUAUUAGCCAUGUUGAAGCGAUAUAGCAGUUCAUCCGUAAAGGAAAAUUCCGUCAUCAAUUACUCAACCUCACGGGAGAUUUCUGUCCCUCCAUGUACAGUUCAGGUAAGCAGAAAGUUCACAAAGGCAUGGUAAGAGUCAUCCGUGUGACUCCACUGGCUUUUGAAGAAAAAAAAAAUGUUGGUCACUAGACUGUAAAAAGGGAGGGACGGAAAUCUCACAGGUUUGGUUAAAAAUGUCUUCAUGUGAGUCGGGAAGAAGGAGGGUAGGCGCAUGGGUUUGGAACGACACGAGGGCUUUGGGGUGAACUAUCGCUUUAAUGAACUCAAAACCUUCCCCAUUCUCUUACCUUGACAGAAAGUGUAGUCGAGAGCUGGGGUGUGAGAUGGGGGGGGAAAGGGGCGGGGCUUCCAGGUAGUGUUCGUUAAUAUCAGAGAAUUCAAAACAACUCUAUGAAUCAUUCCCGAUUAACCCUUAAAGACCUAGCUUCAUUUUUUUUUCAGCAUCAAGUGCCAUAUCAUUUCAAUCUGGCUCAUUUAAAGUCCCAAUUUAAAAAAAAAAAAUGCCCGAAACAAUUGGGUUUUUUUUCCCCAAGUUAUACCUGGAUGUUUUAGACUUCCGAAUGAAAUUUUGUCUUCAUCUAACAUUCCCUUAGCAAGUUAAAGCCAUUUAUUACAAUAUAAUUCUAAGAGUUUUUCCAAUGGGGGGAAAAAAAGGCAUUUUAUUUACUAACACUGUAGGUGUGUCCAUAAAAGAGAGAUGUCUCUCAAAUGAGGAAUUUCCUUUCCCCUUUUAAACAAACAAACAUAUUGAGUGGUGGAGAAGAUGACAGUUUGAACCAAUUUGAGCACGGGGAGGGCGGGACUAAGCAGCAACAGCUGUUUCCUGUUUGGCUCGGGAAGGAACUGUAUGGGUUUCCUUCCUUAACGGAUCGAUGCUGCAAGAUGCGACAGCGUGACGUAUCCGCAUUCCCUACGGAGCAUCUGAACGCCCAGCUGAGACGAACGUGCCAUCAAGAGACGGGACUUUUUAAAGCAUACAGUUUGGCUUAGCGGUUCAAAUAUUUUAAUGAAGGGUUACUAUGACAACUGGA